This is a small nuclear RNA of Ailuropoda melanoleuca (giant panda), 106 nucleotides long. NCBI's taxonomy places the organism in Eukaryota, Metazoa, Chordata, Mammalia, Carnivora, Ursidae. The record is from Ensembl.
UUUUUUUUAUCAACACAUAUACUACAGUUGGAACAAUACAGAGAUUAGCAUGGCCCAGACACAAGGAUGAUAUGCAAAUUUAUGAAGCAUUCCAUAAAAAUUUUUU